RNAcentral lists this ribosomal RNA (400 nucleotides) under uncultured bacterium. RNAcentral describes it as "bacterial SSU rRNA". It matches the Rfam family "Bacterial small subunit ribosomal RNA", at positions 356 to 773 of the family's 1533-position model. The record is from RNAcentral.
GGGGAAUCUUGCGCAAUGGGCGAAAGCCUGACGCAGCCAUGCCGCGUGAAUGGUGAAGGUCUUAGGAUUGUAAAAUUCUUUCACCGGGGACGAUAAUGACGGUACCCGGAGAAGAAGCCCCGGCUAACUUCGUGCCAGCAGCCGCGGUAAUACGAAGGGGGCUAGCGUUGCUCGGAAUUACUGGGCGUAAAGGGAGCGUAGGCGGACAGUUAAGUCAGAGGUGAAAGCCCAGGGCUCAACCUUGGAAUUGCCUUUGAUACUGGCUGUCUUGAGUAUGGGAGAGGUGUGUGGAACUCCGAGUGUAGAGGUGAAAUUCGUAGAUAUUCGGAAGAACACCAGUGGCGAAGGCGACACACUGGCCCAUUACUGACGCUGAGGCUCGAAAGCGUGGGGAGCAAAC